RNAcentral lists this ribosomal RNA (521 nucleotides) under Griffithsia sp. LLG-2014. RNAcentral describes it as "eukaryotic LSU rRNA". It matches the Rfam family "Eukaryotic large subunit ribosomal RNA", at positions 382 to 975 of the family's 3401-position model. Lineage: Eukaryota; Rhodophyta; Florideophyceae; Ceramiales; Ceramiaceae. The record is from RNAcentral.
AGAGGGUGAAAAGAACCUGAAACCGUUACGGCAGAAGCGUAUUGCUGUCGAAGUGCCAAGUAUGCGUUGUUCAAUAAAAAAAACUUUUAUGUAUUCAACGAUAUAUUUUCCGCGCAUGUAUUGUGAGUGAUGGAUUUUGCAUUGCUUGCGGUAGAGGUAUCCCUCAAAACGAGGUGAAGAUGCGCGGGUCUAGACGCGAUGCGACCCGUCUUGAAACACGGACCAAGGAGUGUAGCACAUUUGCGAGUCAAAGGGUUUUGAAACCUGAGGGCGCAGUGAAAGCGAAAAAUAGAAAAUAUGCUAUUUGAGGCGGCAUACGAUCGUUGAUUGUACGUCCGACCUGGAGCAAAUGUGGUACGACCCGAAAGAUGGUGAACUAUGCCGGGGUAGGGCGAAGCCAGAGGAAACUCUGGUGGAGGCUCGUAGCGGUGCUGACGUGCAAAUCGCUCGUCUAACCUGGGUAUAGGGGCGAAAGACUAAUCGAACCAUCUAGUAGCUGGUUCCCUCCGAAGUUUCUCUCA